RNAcentral lists this transfer RNA (73 nucleotides) under Verrucomicrobiota bacterium. RNAcentral describes it as "tRNA-Ala". It matches the Rfam family "tRNA". From Rfam's summary of the family: Transfer RNA (tRNA) molecules are approximately 80 nucleotides in length. Their secondary structure includes four short double-helical elements and three loops (D, anti-codon, and T loops). RNAcentral also lists the same sequence under 3 other names. Lineage: Bacteria; Pseudomonadati; Verrucomicrobiota. The record is from RNAcentral.
GGGGGUUUAGCUCAGUUGGUAGAGCAUCUGAUUUGCAUUCAGAGGGUCAGGAGUUCGAGUCUCCUAGCCUCCA